Molecule: long non-coding RNA, 6465 nt
Organism: Ictalurus punctatus (channel catfish)
Lineage: Eukaryota; Metazoa; Chordata; Actinopteri; Siluriformes; Ictaluridae
Source: Ensembl
GAAAGGACUGCUACUUUGUUCUACGAAAAUGAUAGAAAAUAUGAAAGAUAUAAAAUUAUUUGUUUCUAGGUUAAAAUGUUAGCCAAUCAAUGGGAAAGGUGAGAGGUCAGGGGCGGGGGCAAAUCCUGCGUAAGGAAAAGUCACGCUCUCUUUCGGCUGCAGGCGAUAUACGGAGAAGAUCACACUGGAGAACUGUAAAGUGGUUAAUGCUACUUUUCGUGUUUAAGUAAUACUUAAUGGUUGUCAGACCGAUAACCUAUCCGUUACUUUGCAUGCGGAAGAAGUCGGUAUCACAUAGAGACAUUUUCAAAACGAAUUAGUCAGAAUAGCUCAGCUAAUAGUAUAGCCUGAAAAGUUAGCAACUCGGUAGCUGGGACUAUGUUAGGCUAACUGACUUCGUCAACAAUGAGUUGCCUCUGAGGAACAAGACUGCGAGACUAACCGGAGGAAGACAGCUUGCUGUUUGAACUGAUACGCGAACUACAGCGUCGCGUGAGCAACUGCGCCACCGAGAGCGCGUGAGCAGGGCUGCAGUGACGGUGCAUGGACCCUCUCUGGGCACGGACAUCCCCAUCAACCUCGUGAGUGAAUUGGUUUGGUUUUGUUGCGCGAUUCGCAUGAAGCGGCCAAUACAGUUUUAAGGCCUCAACGUCCCCAAGCUACGAUUCAGGCCUGCAUCAGGAACAGUGGUGUGUGUGGGGUUUAUAGAAAUUCUGGUGUGCCGGCUUAGGUAGGCUAUUAUUUUGGGCCCAUAGGUUAAAGGGUAUAACUGAAAACUGCUUGUUUUAUGCAUGUACAUGGGGUUAUAUGUAACCUGUUGAUUUGGUAAUGGUAUUGAUUUAAAAACCUCAGAAAAAGGUAUAACAUUGAGUUAAAGUUUUGAAUAUGUUUUAUUUCUAAGUUGAUAUACAUGCAAAGAAUUGUGUUUUAAUACAUAUACUUAAACUUUACCUGGUUGUUGGGAAUUCAUUAUUGCUAUACGGGGUGUGGAGGGUUGAUGUGUCAGAUUAAGAUUUAUAUUCAUUUAAUAUAGAAUAGAGUGUAUGCAUUAGAAAAGGUGUUUGACUACACUUAGUAUUACCUCAGUUAACAAGCUUACACAUUAUACCAUAUAAAAAACAUUCAUCUAGUUAGUGACAGUUUAUGACAUUAAAACACAUGCAAGGGGAAUUGCAACCAUAGAUAUUGAAGUUGAAUAGGGUAAGAGAACCCAGGGCGUCUUUUGCCGCACUAAUUAUAUAGGCAAAAGUCCGCUAAAUUACCUUGAGAGGGCCCAGACUCAAAAGGGGACCCAUCCUCAUCUGGGUGACACCAGAUAGUGCGACUAUAAAUAAAUCCUUUCUAUAAAUGUGAUAAUACAACCCCAAUUCCAAAAAAGUUGGGUUGCAGUGUAAAAUGUAAAUAAAAACAGAAUGCAAUGAUUUGCAAAUCUCAUAAACCCAUAUGUUAUUCACAAUAGAACAUAGAAAACGUAUCAAAUGUUUAAAUUGAGGAAAUGUACCAUUUUACGGAAAAAUAAGAUUGGGAUGGGGGCAACAAAAGGCUGGAAAAGUAGGUGUUACUAAAAAAACAGCUUUAGGAACAUUUUGCAACUAAUUAGGUUAAUUGGUAACAGGGCAGUAACAUGCUUGGUAUAAAAAGAGUAUUUUAGAGAGGCAGAGUCUCUAAGAAAUAUAGAUGGUAUGGAAUCUGGAUGGAAGCAUAUGUUGCUCUAAAACCUGUAUAUAGCUUACAGCACUGAUGAUCCCUUUCCAGAUGUACAAGCUGCCCAUUCCAUAGGCAUUAAUGCACCCCCAUACCAUCAGAGAUGCAGGCUUUUGAACUGAGCACUUAUAAAAAGCCGGAUGGUCUGUCUCCUCUUUAGUCCUCUUUAUUUUAGAGGAUGCAGCAUCCAGGGUUUCCAAAAAGAAUUUCAAAUUUCGAUUCGUCUGACCACAGAACAGUUUUUAAUGCAGUGCCGCCUGAGGGCCCGAAGAUCACGAGCAUGCGAUAUUGAUUUUCUCCCUUGUGCAGAGAUUUCUCCAGAUUCUUGGAAUCUUUUGAUGAUAUUAUGUACUGUAGAUGAGAUAUUCAUAUCCGUUGAGUCUUUGUAAUUUUACAUUAAGGAACAGGAAUCUGAAAUUGUUCCACAAAUUGUAGAUGCAGUUUUAUGCAGAUUGCUGAAUCUCUGCCCAUCUUUACGUCUGAAAGACUCUGCCUCUCUAAGAUACUCUUUUUAUACCCAGCCAUGUUACUGACCUGUUGCCAAUUAACCUCCAACUGUUUCUUUUUAGUAACACUUUUCCAGCCUUUUGCUGCCCAUCCCAACUUUUUUGAGAUGUGUUGUGGCCAUCAAAUUCAAAAUUACUUUAUUUUUUCUUAAAAUGGUACAUUUCCUCAGUUUAACCAUUUGAUAUGUUUUCUAUGUUCUAUUGUGAAUAACAUAUGGGUUUAUGAGAUUUGAAAAUCAUUGCAUUCUGUUUUUAUUUGCAUUUUACAAAGCGUCACAACUUUUUUGGAAUUGUGGUUAUACUACAUGGUCAAAUACUGCAGUUGUGUAACCAGGAAAAUUCAUUACAGUUUUUACUUGGAGUCUGUUUUGUUGAACUUCUCCACUGUUCACUGAUGGAGACUUGAGUGCAAAACUGUUUGUGGUAAUUGCAGUGCUAAGGCUAUAAUAGUAAUUGUAGUCCUAAUCAUAGCAUAACUGUUCAUAUGAAUUGAGGUCCAAAGCCAUCUUUAUGGUUUUUAAGUGGUACCAUCCUCAGCAAUCUCACUGAUAAUACAGGCAUCUGUACAAAUUGUGCUAUUCAACAUGGCUGCUUCUGCUGGAAGAGGGAUGUUAUAGACAUAUGAGGAAAUGCUUGCACUUCUCCACAUUUUGGAAGGAGGACUAUAUUAAGAAACAACUAUCAACCACCCACCGAAAUUCUAAAGUGUUUCUUCACUUUUCAGCAAAACUGUAAAAUGGAUUUUAAGCAGAUUGCCUUGCAGUGCCGGUUAUAGUUAAAAAAUUACUCCAGAAAUAUGUGGCAACACUAGAUAAGUGGACAGUCCAGUGGACAGUCAGCCGAUGUCAAGUAGCCUCUUUAUGAUUUUUUUUAGACAAAAUUCUUGGUACAAGCCCCUGCACAAACCCAAUGGAUGUCAUAGAAGAUGAUCAUGGUAUGCUCACUGCAAACUUGCUUUACCUAUUUAAUUUACCUGCACAAUAUUGGUGUACCCACAACAAUGCACAGCAGUGCAAGAGGACUCGGACCCAAAAAGCAGCAGUACAAAGAGGUCUGAGACCCCAUUACUGCUUAAGUGGACCAAAAAAUUAUGAGUCAUCUUGCAGGGACAGGGUGAAGGUGAAGAGAACUGGAUCCUUUUUCACUUGGUUGGCUUCAAGGGGUCUGAGUUCAGUUCUUUUAAAGAGGACUCAAGUGUGAAAACACCCUAAAUUUACUCAUAAGAUGAAUAACUGAUGUAAACCUUGACUGAUUGGCUUUGAAUCUUAUAAUUUGUGAUGAGUUAAAGCAUUUUUAUUAUUUUACAGAUUAUGCUGUGACUCCACUGGAUACACUGCUGAACAAUAUAUUUUUGAAUUCUUGUAGACACAAGUCAAAAGUAUCUCAACUUCUGCCUCAGAGAAAUCCUUUUUUUGGCCGUUUUGUGCUUUUCACUCUGUGAACUUGUCCUUUUAUGGAGUUUUGUAGUGUCAACAAAAACAAAUCAUCUGUGGCAUCUAAUUUACAGAUGAUUACCAUUUGUGUGUACACUAUACACACAUGAAUAUGAAGAAAAUCAAUGUUUACAAUGUUAAACUUUAGUAAAUCUUUAUUUCCAUUUGGCUUACGCAAACAUUUACACACAGCUUUACUCAAAGAUCAAUGAAGGCGGCCCAAUGUGUGUGACAACCAACACCUCCUAGCAGAAUUAUGGUACAUUUAAACAGAUUCAUUCAUUCAUUCACCUUCAGUAACCACUUUAUUCUGGUCAAGGUUGCCGUGGAUUCAGAGCCUAUGCUGGGAACACUCGGUGUGAGGCAGAGACACAUGCUGAAUGGGACACCUCGGGGCAAUUUAUAGAGGCCAGUCCAGCUACUGGCAUGUUCCUGGGAGAAAGAAAGUCAAAAAAAAAAAAAAAGAUUUCAACACCACCAAAAGAAGCGAAGACAAGAUUAAGUCACCUGUCAUGCCCUAGUCGGGGUGAUGCUACUGAUGAGAUACUGCCAUCAACACUGCAAAAUAUUGGAAUGUGUUGUGAUCUUUUUUUUUUCCUUCCUAGUUUACUGCUAGUAUACAGACAUGCAUCAGCAUAACCUAGAAAACUGAUGUCUGAAAAAUAGAUUUAUUUUCUAUAAAAUAGCAGCAAACUUCUGAUGUGUUCAAUAUGGACAGCUUUUUAAAACAUCCUGUCAAAAUCGGCACAGGAAGAGAAAUCUUCUCGGCUGUAGGUAUGUCACUUUUUGAAAAGUUGGAAAAAUAAAAUGUGAAUCCUUUUGGGAUUUUCAUCAGUUGCUGAAUAUUCUGAAGAGAAAGCAACACAUGACAUGAUGAAAAGAUCCAAACAUGCAUACAAUGGUGAGACAAUACACUCACUGCCAUCAUUUAUUGCAAAAAUCUGUUUCAAUUAUAAUUUAUCACAUCAUCUCUUUAUCAAUGUGCCAACAUUUCGUUCUCUGGCUAGUUUCUUGGUUUUUUCCAAAAAACUUUUGUUGCAAAUCCUUUGCUUUCAACCCCAAGUGUCAGCCAAAACAUUUCUGUAUGCCAUACACAGUAGUAUAUUGUUUUGUCUGGUUUGAUGUGUGCUUUUUUGGUCACCACUGUGUCUGGCUGCAGUUGAUUGGAUAAUUGGCAGCUUAUUUUGGCUCGACUACCAUCAUUGGCUGAUGAAAGCAGGAGGAUCUUGGCAGCACUCUUUAUUACACAACCUAGUUCCAACAUGGUCUUAUGAUUGAAAAUUUAUAACACUGUAUAUGGGCCAACUCAUAUGAAAAGUUAAGGUGCAUGGUUAAAGUUAGAUCAAGGGGCAGGGUUACUUCAUUUUUAUGACUUCAUAAUAAAAAAUCCAUCUAAAUUGCUCUCAGUCAUUAGAAAUUAUCCAUGAUUUCAAGUUGACUGGUGAAACCUGUCCCAGAAUACAAGCUCUGACUUUAUCAUACACUACAUCCUGGCUAGCUGUCCAUCAUUGUUUUGCCCACUAGUGUUUUCUCCAUGAAUCAGAUUGGGUUUAUUUUCCUGGCUCAGGUUUUCAGCAGACACAUUCACUAUGUUAAAACAGUUCCAGUUUGGUAUGGAGAACUUUAUUGUUUGAUGUUUAUUUCAUGCACCACCUCUCAAUUGUCGUGUCAGCAUAAAGAAAUUCAGAACUGACAGUCUCAGACUGGUUCCAUAUGCAACAAUCGACAUGAACAGAAUAAAAUUAAGUUCCUUUUGAAACAGAUAUUUUUUGUUUCAAUACUUUAUUCCUUUUUGAAAUCACUCCACAGCCCUGUUUCUUCCUGGUCACUCAAAAUGAUGUAAGAACAAUAAAAGUGAACUGAGGUGUAAGAAUGCUCAUAUGUUAAUGCUUAUAUUCAGGUCAGAAAUCAUCAUCGUUGUCGUCAUCGGCAGUUACUCGAGUCAAGUAUGACUGUCUUCCAUGGGGUUAGAAGUUGGUGGAUCUGCAGAUGGCAGGAGAGGCCAAUCUGUAACCUGAAUAUUGGAUUCCUUGUGGAAAUCUAUAACAUUGACCAUACUAAUUACUGUUUUGUGAAGGUGCUGCCAAGAUGACAGACGGUACCUAUAUGUUAACUCCUUUUACACCUGCUGAUGACCGGUUGGCUCCACAGUUCUACUGCUUCCCUAGGAGACCCGAUAGCUAGCGGAAGUGCUGCAGGCAGAUUUCCAGGUAUUAAUAAAGAUGUGUACAGUUCCUGCUGUGGCAUGAGUAUGCUUGGGGAAAAAAGGCAAAUAACAACAAUGAUUUUGCAAGCAAACCUCACAAGAAGAGCUUAAAGGAUCGGUUUUAUAGACCGUGUGCGUUUGCAAAGUGAGUUGAGAAAUAGCUAGCUUGCAAGUAAUCAAAUAAAUAUGAAAAUACUUGUACUCUGACUGUGCUAGCAUACUAAUAUAUGACAGUGUAUGGAGGCAGAAGCUUGGGGCUUCACUUUUGUGUGGUUGUCAAAAUGAAUGAAGUUAAUCCUAUGAGCAACUUGAGAUGCCGCAGUUGCUACAGUCGAUAUUAAACUUAUAAGGAGAGACAUAAUUUCAGGCUACUACUGAGUAGGAAUAUAUGCAUUCAUUCAUUCAUCUUCAGUAACCUGUGAAUCUGGAGACCUUCCCAGGAACACUGGGUGCAUGGUAUAAGUAGAAACAUGUUGGUUUAAAACAUUAAUAACAUUUGAAAAAAACAUCAAUACCUGACUUUAUUAAUACUAGUUUGCAAUGUUGAAAAGUGAUGUCUUGACCAGAUUCCAUCACACAAACAUUUUUGUUAAGCCAAAUCAGGGCUAAGUCUGCC